This 517-nucleotide ribosomal RNA is filed under the name Serratia plymuthica. RNAcentral's name for it is "bacterial SSU rRNA". It matches the Rfam family "Bacterial small subunit ribosomal RNA", at positions 48 to 554 of the family's 1533-position model. The record is from RNAcentral. Lineage: Bacteria; Pseudomonadati; Pseudomonadota; Gammaproteobacteria; Enterobacterales; Yersiniaceae.
CUAACACAUGCAAGUCGAGCGGUAGCACAAGAGAGCUUGCUCUCUGGGUGACGAGCGGCGGACGGGUGAGUAAUGUCUGGGAAACUGCCUGAUGGAGGGGGAUAACUACUGGAAACGGUAGCUAAUACCGCAUAACGUCUACGGACCAAAGUGGGGGACCUUCGGGCCUCACGCCAUCAGAUGUGCCCAGAUGGGAUUAGCUAGUAGGUGGGGUAAUGGCUCACCUAGGCGACGAUCCCUAGCUGGUCUGAGAGGAUGACCAGCCACACUGGAACUGAGACACGGUCCAGACUCCUACGGGAGGCAGCAGUGGGGAAUAUUGCACAAUGGGCGCAAGCCUGAUGCAGCCAUGCCGCGUGUGUGAAGAAGGCCUUAGGGUUGUAAAGCACUUUCAGCGAGGAGGAAGGGUUCAGUGUUAAUAGCACUGUCCNUUGACAUUACUCGCAAAAGAAGCACCGGUUAACUCCGUGCUUNUAGCGGCGGUAAUAUAGAGGGUGCAAUCCUUGAUCGCAAUUAC